Molecule: ribosomal RNA, 490 nt
Filed under: uncultured bacterium
Lineage: Bacteria
Description: bacterial SSU rRNA
Rfam family: Bacterial small subunit ribosomal RNA
Source: RNAcentral
GAUCCUGGCUCAGGAUGAACGCUAGCGGCAGGCCUAACACAUGCAAGUCGAGGGGUAGUUACUUUCGGGUAAUGAGACCGGCGCACGGGUGCGUAACGCGUAUGCAACCUACCCUGUACUGGGGGUAUAGCCCGAAGAAAUUCGGAUUAAUCCCCCAUAGUAUAUUUCAAUCGCAUGAUUGGACUAUUAAAGGUUACGGUACAUGAUGGGCAUGCGUCCCAUUAGCUAGAUGGUGAGGUAACGGCUCACCAUGGCGACGAUGGGUAGGGGGCCUGAGAGGGUGGUCCCCCACACUGGUACUGAGACACGGACCAGACUCCUACGGGAGGCAGCAGUGAGGAAUAUUGGUCAAUGGGCGCAAGCCUGAACCAGCCAUGCCGCGUGCAGGAAGACGGUCCUAUGGAUUGUAAACUGCUUUUAUUUGGGAAUAAACCUAUCUACGUGUAGAUAGCUGAAGGUACCAAAUGAAUAAGCACCGGCUAACUCCGUG